ACAGCAGAGCCGCGGGAAAACGUAGGUGGCAAGCGUUGUCCGGAAUUAUUGGGCGUAAAGGGCUCGCAGGCGGUUUCUUAAGUCUGAUGUGAAAGCCCCCGGCUCAACCGGGGAGGGUCAUUGGGAACUGGGAAACUUGAGUGCAGAAGAGGAGAGUGGAAUUCCACGUGUAGCGGUGAAAUGCGUAGAGAUGUGGAGGAACACCAGUGGCGAAAGCGACUCUCUGGUCUGUAACUGACGCUGAGGAGCGAAAGCGUGGGGAGCGAACAGGAUUAGAUACCCCGGUAGUCCCUGUCUCUUAUACA
This 305-nucleotide ribosomal RNA is filed under the name uncultured bacterium. Its description in RNAcentral is "partial 16S ribosomal RNA". It matches the Rfam family "Bacterial small subunit ribosomal RNA", at positions 508 to 808 of the family's 1533-position model. The record is from RNAcentral.